Non-coding RNA from Triticum urartu, 126 nucleotides. Lineage: Eukaryota; Viridiplantae; Streptophyta; Magnoliopsida; Poales; Poaceae. The record is from Rfam.
CUUAUACUCCCUCUUAACGAAAAAGCUUGUCCCUCAAAUGGAUGUAUCUAGCACCAAGUUAGUGCUAGAUACAUUCAUUUGGAAGACAAGUUUGGGACAAGCUUUUUCGGACGGAGGAAGUAGGAG